Molecule: ribosomal RNA, 389 nt
Filed under: uncultured bacterium
Lineage: Bacteria
Description: bacterial SSU rRNA
Rfam family: Bacterial small subunit ribosomal RNA
Source: RNAcentral
AUUGAACGCUGGCGGCAUGCCUUACACAUGCAAGUCGAACGGCAGCACGGGGGCAACCCUGGUGGCGAGUGGCGAACGGGUGAGUAAUACAUCGGAACGUGCCCAGUAGUGGGGGAUAGCCCGGCGAAAGCCGGAUUAAUACCGCAUACGACCUACGGGUGAAAGCGGGGGAUCGCAAGACCUCGCGCUAUCGGAGCGGCCGAUGUCAGAUUAGGUUGUUGGUGGGGUAAAAGCCUACCAAGCCGACGAUCUGUAGCUGGUCUGAGAGGACGACCAGCCACACUGGGACUGAGACACGGCCCAGACUCCUACGGGAGGCAGCAGUGGGGAAUUUUGGACAAUGGGCGCAAGCCUGAUCCAGCCACGCCGCGUGCGGGAAGAAGGCCUGG